This 460-nucleotide ribosomal RNA is filed under the name uncultured bacterium. Its description in RNAcentral is "partial 16S ribosomal RNA". It matches the Rfam family "Bacterial small subunit ribosomal RNA", at positions 338 to 795 of the family's 1533-position model. The record is from RNAcentral.
CCUACGGGUGGCAGCAGUGAGGAAUAUUGGUCAAUGGGCGCGAGCCUGAACCAGCCAAGUAGCGUGAAGGAUGACUGCCCUACGGGUUGUAAACUUCUUUUAUAAAGGAAUAAAGUGAGGCACGUGUGCCUUUUUGUAUGUACUUUAUGAAUAAGGAUCGGCUAACUCCGUGCCAGCAGCCGCGGUAAUACGGAGGAUCCGAGCGUUAUCCGGAUUUAUUGGGUUUAAAGGGAGCGGAGAUGGGUUGUUAAGUCAGUUGUGAAAGUUUGUGGCUUAAACGUAAAAUUGCAAUUGAUACUGGCAGUCUAGAGGACAGUUGAGGUAGGCGGAAUUCGUGGUGUAGCGGUGAAAGGCUUAGAUAUCACGAAGAACCCCGAUUGCGAAGGAAGCUUACUAACCGGCUACUGACAUUGAUGCUCGAAAGUGUGGGUAUCAAACAGGAUUAGAUACCCUAGUAGUC